This 1399-nucleotide ribosomal RNA is filed under the name metagenome. RNAcentral describes it as "bacterial SSU rRNA". It matches the Rfam family "Bacterial small subunit ribosomal RNA". The record is from RNAcentral.
AGAGUUUGAUCCUGGCUCAGGAUGAACGCUGACAGAAUGCUUAACACAUGCAAGUCGACUGGAAUUCACCUUCGGGUGAUAGUACGGUGGCGGACGGGUGAGUAACGCGUAAAGAACUUGCCCUCUAGACCGGGACAACUGUUGGAAACGACAGCUAAUACCGGAUAUUAUGGGAACCUCGCAUGGGGAACUUAUGAAAGCUAUAUGCGCUAGAGGAGAGCUUUGCGUGCCAUUAGGUAGUUGGUAGGGUAAUGGCCUACCAAGCCGACGAUGGCUAGCCGGCCUGAGAGGGGGAUGAGCAGCCACACUGGGACUGAGACACGGCCCAGACUCCUACGGGAGGCAGCAGUGGGGAAUUUUCCGCAAUGGGCGAAAGCCUGACGGAGCAAUACCGCGUGAGGGAGGAAGGCCUUUGGGUUGUAAACCUCUUUUCUCAGGGAAGAAGAUCUGACGGUACCUGAGGAAUAAGCAUCGGCUAACUCCGUGCCAGCAGCCGCGGUAAUACGGAGGAUGCAAGCGUUAUCCGGAAUCAUUGGGCGUAAAGCGUCCGCAGGUGGUUUUUCAAGUCUGCUGUUAAAGACUGGAGCUCAACUCCGGAAAGGCAGUGGAAACUGAGAAACUAGAGUUCGGUAGGGGUAGCGGGAAUUCCCAGUGCAGCGGUGAAAUGCGUAGAUAUUGGGAAGAACAUCGGUGGCGAAGGCGCGCUACUGGACCGAAACUGACACUCAGGGACGAAAGCUAGGGGAGCGAAAGGGAUUAGAUACCCCUGUAGUCCUAGCUGUAAACGAUGGAAACUAGGUGUGGCUUGUAUCGACCCGAGCCGUGCCGUAGCUAACGCGUUAAGUUUCCCGCCUGGGGAGUACGCACGCAAGUGUGAAACUCAAAGGAAUUGACGGGGGCCCGCACAAGCGGUGGAGUAUGUGGUUUAAUUCGAUGCAACGCGAAGAACCUUACCAGGGCUUGACAUGUCGCGAAUCUCCUUGAAAGGGGAGAGUGCCUUCGGGAGCGCGAACACAGGUGGUGCAUGGCUGUCGUCAGCUCGUGUCGUGAGAUGUUGGGUUAAGUCCCGCAACGAUCGCAACCCUCGUCUUUAGUUGCCAGCAUUAAGGUGGGCACUUUAGAGAGACUGCCGGUGACAAACCGGAGGAAGGUGGGGAUGACGUCAAGUCAGCAUGCCCCUUACGCCCUGGGCUACACACGUACUACAAUGGUUGGGACAAAGGGCAGCGACCCCGCGAGGGAAAGCGAAUCUCAUCAAACCCAGCCUCAGUUCAGAUUGCAGGCUGCAACUCGCCUGCAUGAAGGAGGAAUCGCUAGUAAUCGCAGGUCAGCAUACUGCGGUGAAUUCGUUCCCGGGCCUUGUACACACCGCCCGUCACACCAUGGAAGCUGGUCACCC